Molecule: transfer RNA, 75 nt
Filed under: Candidatus Nitrosopumilus sp.
Lineage: Archaea; Thermoproteati; Nitrososphaerota; Nitrososphaeria; Nitrosopumilales; Nitrosopumilaceae
Also listed under: 2 other names
Description: Nitrosopumilus sp. tRNA-Val
Rfam family: tRNA
About the family: Transfer RNA (tRNA) molecules are approximately 80 nucleotides in length. Their secondary structure includes four short double-helical elements and three loops (D, anti-codon, and T loops).
Source: RNAcentral
GGACCGGUCGUCUAGUUUGGUUUGGAUGACGCACUCACACUGCGUAGGCCGUGGGUUCAAAUCCCAUCCGGUCCA